This is a long non-coding RNA of Passer domesticus (house sparrow), 417 nucleotides long. RefSeq lists it as uncharacterized. The transcript is spliced from 3 exons. The record is from RefSeq and is a predicted model, not a curated record. Lineage: Eukaryota; Metazoa; Chordata; Aves; Passeriformes; Passeridae.
GGGAAGGCUUCUCCAUCAGCUUGGAUGAAUAAAGUUUUGAAGCCAUUGGAGCCUCCUGCAGAUGUGUCUACAGGGAAGACUUCUCCAGCUUCUCCAGCUGCUACCUUGGAUGCUGCACUCAAGCCCAGCUCCCAUCUCAGGGGUGAGUAGUGUGUCCCUGCUGACCCCACAGGCUGAGCCCUGCUUUUCUGGGAUCCAUUCCUGGGAAAUGGAACUAUUUUUCUCUAAGGUACUCCAACAGGGAAAAUCCAAGAUACAACAGAUAAGAUAUCCCUGGAACCAUCCAAACAGAUGAGGCAAGAGCUGAAGGAAUGUCUGCAGAGAAGACAAGAGAUGGACAUAGUGCUUCAGUGGAAGGUGGUAUUUCUUGAAGGAAGCACUCCAUCUUCGGUGCCAGCCCCUGCUGCAGGAAGGAAG